ACUUUCAUCGAAUACGGCUUUCCACAGAAUUCUAUAGGGAUCUAUGAGAUCGAGUAUGGAAUUUUGUUUACUCACUUUAAAUUGAGUACCCUAUGA
This 96-nucleotide ribosomal RNA is filed under the name Triticum aestivum (bread wheat). RNAcentral's name for it is "partial small subunit ribosomal RNA". Lineage: Eukaryota; Viridiplantae; Streptophyta; Magnoliopsida; Poales; Poaceae. The record is from RNAcentral.